UGGUUGAGUGCGGAUUUGAGUA
Molecule: non-coding RNA, 22 nt
Filed under: Arabidopsis thaliana (thale cress)
Lineage: Eukaryota; Viridiplantae; Streptophyta; Magnoliopsida; Brassicales; Brassicaceae
Source: RNAcentral